This 880-nucleotide ribosomal RNA is filed under the name Clostridioides difficile. Its description in RNAcentral is "bacterial LSU rRNA". It matches the Rfam family "Bacterial large subunit ribosomal RNA", at positions 1 to 884 of the family's 2925-position model. Lineage: Bacteria; Bacillati; Bacillota; Clostridia; Peptostreptococcales; Peptostreptococcaceae. The record is from RNAcentral.
UGGUCAAGUUAUUAAGGGUGCAGGGCGGAUGCCUUGGCACUAGGAGCCGAUGAAGGACGUGAUAAGCUGCGAUAAGCUUCGGGGAGUUGCACGUAAACUUUGAUCCGAAGAUUUCCGAAUGAGGAAACUCACUUAGAGUAAUGUCUAAGUAUCAUUAAGUGAAUACAUAGCUUAAUGAGGGGAACUCAGGGAACUGAAACAUCUAAGUACCUGAAGGAAGAGAAAGAAAUUCGAUUCCGUAAGUAGCGGCGAGCGAACGCGGAUUAGCCCAAACCAAUAAAGUUUUCUUUAUUGGGGUUGCGGACAUAUCAUAACGAAGAGGUAUCGUAAUUGAAGAGGUUUGGAAAGACCCACCACAGAAGGUAAUAGUCCUGUAUGUUAAACGAGAAGACUUUAGAUAUGAUCCAGAGUACCACGGGACACGUGAAACCCUGUGGGAAGCAGGAGGGACCACCCUCCAAGGCUAAAUACUACCUAGUGACCGAUAGCGUAUAGUACCGUGAGGGAAAGGUGAAAAGAACCCCGGGAGGGGAGUGAAAUAGAACCUGAAACCCUGCACUUACAAGCUGUGGAAGCACAUUUCUUGUGUGACCGCGUACUUUUUGUAGAACGGGCCAACGAGUUACGUUAAGUAGCAAGGUUAAGCACUUAAGGUGCGGAGCCGUAGCGAAAGCGAGUUUUAACUGAGCGUUCAGUUACUUGACGUAGACCCGAAACCGGGCGACCUACCCAUGAGCAGGAUGAAGCGAAAGUAAAAUUUCGUGGAGGUCCGAACCCACGAGCGUUGAAAAGCUCGGGGAUGACUUGUGGGUAGCGGUGAAAUUCCAAUCGAGCCCGGAGAUAGCUGGUUCUCCCCGAAAUAGCUUUAGGGCUAGCCUCA